Molecule: ribosomal RNA, 600 nt
Filed under: uncultured bacterium
Lineage: Bacteria
Description: bacterial SSU rRNA
Rfam family: Bacterial small subunit ribosomal RNA
Source: RNAcentral
AAUUAUCGACGCUGAGGCUCGAAAGCGCGGAUAAGCAAAACAGGAUAAGAAUACCCUGGUAGUCCGCGCCCGUAAACGAUGCAUACUGGGUGUCCGGAGUUCGCCCCGGGUACCGCAGCCAACGCGUUAAGUAUGCCGCCUGGGGAGUACGUACGCAAGUAUGAAACUCAAAGGAAUUGACGGGGGCCCGCACAAGCGGUGGAGCAUGUGGUUUAAUUCGAAGCAACGCGCAGAACCUUACCAGGGUUUGACAUGGAAUCGCCGCGGCGAGAGAUCGCCGUAUUGCAGCAAUGCAACGGUUCACACAGGUGCUGCAUGGCUGUCGUCAGCUAGUGUCGUGAGAUGUUGGGUUAAGUCCCGCAACGAGCGCAACCCACGUUUCCAGUUGCCACCCGCAAGGGGGCUCUCUGGAGAGACUGCCGGGGACAACCCGGAGGAAGGUGUGGAUGACGUCAAGUCCUCAUGGCCCUUACAUCCUGGGCCACACACGUGCUACAAUGGACGGUACAAUGGGUAGCGGGGUCGCGAGACCGAGCCAAUCCUCAAAGCCGUCCUCAGUUCGGAUCGGAGUCUCAACUCGCUCCGGAAGCGGAAUCGCUA